UAGCGUGUGAUGAGGUACUCGGAUUCCCCUUCUGGACAUCAUGGGUGAUGCAAUACCGAGUCUCUGAUGCU
Ricinus communis (castor bean) is the source of this 71-nucleotide non-coding RNA. Lineage: Eukaryota; Viridiplantae; Streptophyta; Magnoliopsida; Malpighiales; Euphorbiaceae. The record is from Rfam.